RNAcentral lists this transfer RNA (73 nucleotides) under Ovis aries (sheep). It matches the Rfam family "tRNA". From Rfam's summary of the family: Transfer RNA (tRNA) molecules are approximately 80 nucleotides in length. Lineage: Eukaryota; Metazoa; Chordata; Mammalia; Artiodactyla; Bovidae. The record is from Rfam by way of RNAcentral.
UUCCUGGUGGUCCAGUGGGUAAGACUCUGAGCUUCCACUACAGAGGGUGCAGGUUCAAUCCCUGGUCAGGGAA